RNAcentral lists this long non-coding RNA (415 nucleotides) under Bos taurus (domestic cattle). RNAcentral describes it as "long non-coding RNA NONBTAT007345". Lineage: Eukaryota; Metazoa; Chordata; Mammalia; Artiodactyla; Bovidae. The record is from RNAcentral.
UCCUACUACCCACGUCUCCUUACUUCUCCUGAGGAUUGGGCAAGGAUCAAGGCCUGGCCUUUUCCACCUUUCCCUUACCUCCACCCCCAAGAAUGACAAGUAUCUAUCUGGUUGAUUAGGACCCUGAUUAUCUUAUUGGCCACUGCCUGAGGCCCAGUUAGAACAAAGUAGUCUCUCUUUGGUCUCUUCAUGUGGCUGAUAGCACACAGCUGCUAUCAGUAGUCAAGCUUUUUCUUUCUGGACCCUGGGAACUCUGCCAUAAAUAUUCGGGCAAGUGCUCAUUUUGUGCUGGCUCUCGGCAUUUCUGGUGCUGGCAGGUGCAAAUUGAUACAUAUUUUUUUCCCCUGGAGAAGGAAGAUCUAAGGUUUUAGAUCAAAGAUAAAGAGAUUAUAGAGGCCUCCCGGCUUGGUAAAAG